This is a long non-coding RNA of Rhododendron vialii, 661 nucleotides long. RefSeq lists it as uncharacterized. The transcript is spliced from 2 exons. Lineage: Eukaryota; Viridiplantae; Streptophyta; Magnoliopsida; Ericales; Ericaceae. The record is from RefSeq and is a predicted model, not a curated record.
ACAUACAUACAGUUAGGUUCAGAUGAGGGAUUCCGUUUUUUGCAUUUCGUGCGGGACUCCCAUCUCAGCCGUUGGAUCUCAUCCAACGGCUGGCGUUUUAAAGAGCAUCUCGCGGAUCUCAAGCGGUCGGGUCACGGGUAAAAAGAGUUCUCGCGGGUCAUGGGCACGCACAAACGGAUCCCUUAUUUCUUUCUUUUCGUUUCACGCUGAAACAGAGAGAGAGAGAGAACAAGAAGAACACACAGCGACAAACUCAGACGAUUUGGCGAUUUCGACGAAGACUAUGAAGAACUCAGACGAUUUCGACGAAGAACACCACUAGGUGUUGACUGUUGAGUUGGAAAGCUCCAGACCAAGGCCACGAAGUCUCCAAGAACUUGUUUUGUUGAUGCAUAGCGAAAUUGGUGCAGGGAAGAUUGUUGUACUACGUUAGGGAACCAGUAAAAAUCAGGACUUGUAUUUUGUUGCUUUGAUCAAUGUAUUUCCGAUUUCUAAUAUAAGUUUUAGUUUGAUUAUAAAAGAUGAUCAACUUAUGUUAUGGAGUGAUGUUAUGGAGAGAUAGAGAGAUAGAGCUAUGUUAUGGAGUUAUGUUGUUAUGAAUUGUGAACAUUUGCAAACAUUUGCUUUAUUCAAUUCCAGUUGCUCUCUUGUGGGUCUCUCA